UUGUCACAAGCCGUCGCAUUCUCGUAAAAGUGAGACUUUAGGUUGAGAUAAGAGCAUGAACAAGUCCGGGAAUUCAUCCCGACUCGGAUGAGGAACACAGUAAAGUUGUUUUACAGCAAAUCAAAAUGCCUAAGAUCAAAUACUGGGGAGCAAGGUCGAAGAAAGUACUUACCCAAAUCAACAUAGGACAACAAAAGUGGUGGACAACGCGGUUUAUUUCGAAGCAAAUCGAAGAACCUUACCAGGUCUUGACAUCCUCUGACAAUCCUAGAGAUAGGACUUCCCCUUCGGGGGCAGAGUGACAGGUGGUGCAUGGUUGUCGUCAGCUCGUGUCGUGAGAUGUUGGGUUAAGUCCCGCAACGAGCGCAACCCUUGAUCUUAGUUGCCAGCAUUCAGUUGGGCACUCUAAGGUGACUGCCGGUGACAAACCGGAGGAAGGUGGGGAUGACGUCAAAUCAUCAUGCCCCUUAUGACCUGGGCUACACACGUGCUACAAUGGACAGAACAAAGGGCAGCGAAACCGCGAGGUUAAGCCAAUCCCACAAAUCUGUUCUCAGUUCGGAUCGCAGUCUGCAACUCGACUGCGUGAAGCUGGAAUCGCUAGUAAUCGCGGAUCAGCAUGCCGCGGUGAAUACGUUCCCGGGCCUUGUACACACCGCCCGUCACACCACGAGAGUUUGUAACACCCGAAGUCGGUGAGGUAACCUUUUAGGAGCCAGCC
RNAcentral lists this ribosomal RNA (721 nucleotides) under Bacillus subtilis. RNAcentral describes it as "bacterial SSU rRNA". The stretch from base 144 to 721 matches the Rfam family "Bacterial small subunit ribosomal RNA", at positions 874 to 1454 of the family's 1533-position model. The record is from RNAcentral. Lineage: Bacteria; Bacillati; Bacillota; Bacilli; Caryophanales; Bacillaceae.